RNAcentral lists this ribosomal RNA (253 nucleotides) under uncultured bacterium. RNAcentral's name for it is "partial 16S ribosomal RNA". It matches the Rfam family "Bacterial small subunit ribosomal RNA", at positions 524 to 776 of the family's 1533-position model. The record is from RNAcentral.
UACAGAGGUCUCAAGCGUUGUUCGGAUUCAUUGGGCGUAAAGGGUGCGUAGGCGGCGCGGUAAGUCGGGUGUGAAAUCUCCGAGCUUAACUUGGAAACUGCCAUUGAUACUAUCAAUCUUGAAUACUGUGGAGGUCAGCGGAAUAUGUCAUGUAGCGGUGAAAUGCUUAGAUAUGACAUAGAACACCAAUUGCGAAGGCAGCUGGCUACACAAUUAUUGACACUGAGGCACGAAAGCGUGGGGAUCAAACAGG